AAAAAAAAUGGUGAGCUUGGUUUGCUGCAAUCUUAUUCAUGUUUGGCUAGUGGAUUUGGACUAGGUAUACUUGCAGUAUUUCUUCAUGAUGCAUGGCAAUAAGGAUUCAAAAUAAGACCAUUGUAAUAUAGUAGUGGAAACAGGGUCUGCUGAUGUUUUUGUUCAGUAGGUUCGACCCUGCUCAACUUGCCUCUGCAACUUGAUUUUGCAACAUGAUACUUGCUCCAGGAUCAAAUUUCUACCGGCUAGUUCCAAUGUCCAUUUCUUUGCUUUAUGGGUAUCGCGGUUCAUGGUUGUUGCAUUGCUUUGGUGGUACAAGUUUGUUCAAAUGGAAUUGCUUCAAAUCAUUUGCUCUAAGUUCAGUCAUCACGCCAUGACCUUAUGGAAUUCAAGUUUUGAUUUGGCAG
Molecule: long non-coding RNA, 407 nt
Organism: Lathyrus oleraceus (garden pea)
Lineage: Eukaryota; Viridiplantae; Streptophyta; Magnoliopsida; Fabales; Fabaceae
Exons: 3
Source: RefSeq, a predicted model, not a curated record